GUGUUCUCAUUGUUCAAUUCACUGUUCUCAUUCUUAUGGGGAAAUCUCAAUACAUCCAAAAUUGUAUUCAUCUUGCCUGCUAUGACCCAACUGGCCCAAUCUGUCGGCUGCACCAGUAAUCUUCCAAAUUUCUGGGCUCUAGUAAACAUGGAGGUUACUGACUCUUUUCUCUCCAUCAUUCUACAGAUCAAGGGCUCUAAACCUGGGAUCCAUGACUUCUGAAAGCCUGUGAAUGGGUUUCUGCUACUACAUGUUAAUUUUUACAUGGGUAUACGUAUAUGCACUUGGCUAUGGUUUUCAUAAGAAUCUCAGGAGUCCCUGAUGCAAACAAGGAUCAAUUUGAAUCCAAGUCCUGUCCUUUCUUUUGAGGCACCAAUUCUCGGUCUCCCUUUCUUCAUUCUUCCAGACACCUAUCUUAUCUAUUCUCAUAGCUGCUGACUGUCUGAUUAUGGCAGGAGACUUUGUUGUUGUUUUGAGACAGAGUUUUACUCUGUCUUGGGGGGGAAAAAAAAAAGAAAAGAAAAAAACUCACUGAGCCUGCCA
Molecule: long non-coding RNA, 543 nt
Filed under: Homo sapiens (human)
Lineage: Eukaryota; Metazoa; Chordata; Mammalia; Primates; Hominidae
Description: HSALNT0041587
Source: RNAcentral